UACAGAGGUGGCAAGCGUUAAUCGGAAUUACUGGGCGUAAAGCGCGCGUAGGCGGCUUGGCAAGUGGGAUGGAUGAAAUCCCUCGGCUUAACCGAGGAACUGCCGUCCAAACUGCUUAGCUUGAGACCGGGAGAGGUGAGUGGAAUUCCCAGUGUAGCGGUGAAAUGCGUAGAUAUUGGGAGGAACACCAGUGGCGAAGGCGGCUCACUGGACCGGUACUGACGCUGAGGCGCGAAAGCGUGGGGAGCAAACGGG
Molecule: ribosomal RNA, 255 nt
Filed under: uncultured bacterium
Lineage: Bacteria
Description: partial 16S ribosomal RNA
Rfam family: Bacterial small subunit ribosomal RNA
Source: RNAcentral